This 497-nucleotide ribosomal RNA is filed under the name uncultured bacterium. Its description in RNAcentral is "partial 16S ribosomal RNA". It matches the Rfam family "Bacterial small subunit ribosomal RNA", at positions 38 to 507 of the family's 1533-position model. The record is from RNAcentral.
GGGGGGGGGGGGGGGGGGGGGGGGGGGGGGGGGGGCGGGGGGGCGGGGGGGGGGCUGGCGGGUCUGGUGUGAGCGGCGGACGGGGGAGUGGGGCGUGGGGAACCGACCUAGAAGACUGGGGUAACUGCGGGGAACCGGAGCUCGGACCGGAUACCUCUUUGAACCUCUUGGUUCAAAAGUCCAAGACGGUCGUGGUGUCACUCUUAGAUGGAUCCGCGCUGCGUUAGCUAGUUGGUAAGGUAACGGCUUACCAAGGCAACGAUGCAUAGCCGACCUGAGAGGGUGAUCGGCCACACUGGAACUGAGACACGGUCCAGACUCCUACGGGAGGCAGCAGUAGGGAAUCUUCCGCAAUGGGCGAAAGCCUGACGGAGCAACGCCGCGUGAGUGAUGAAGGUCUUCGGAUCGUAAAACUCUGUUAUUAGGGAAGAACAUAUGUGUAAGUAACUGUGCACAUCUUGACGGUACCUAAUCAGAAAGCCACGGCUAACUACGUG